CACGGGAUGUUCUCCUCUUAGUCCGCUCCGGAAACGCGACCGCGGACGGAAAUAUCACGUGAUCUUAACGUCAACGCGCCCGCGCCGGCCGAACGGACGCCCUCGGUUUCCGCGGGCUGGCGUUUGUGCUUUAGGUACUUUUUUCCCCCCCCACGGUGUUGUGGCGUUUGCGGUCUUUUUCUCCAGACUGUCGGGGCCUGCUUUGGGAUUUCGCGAUGUACCACAACAGUAGCCAGAAGCGGCACUGGACUUUCGCCAGUGAGGAGCAGCUGGCACGACUGCGGGCCGACGCCAACCGCAAGUUCAAAUGCAAAGCGGUGGCCAACGGGAAGGUUCUUCCAAAUGAUCCAGUCUUUCUUGAGCCUCAUGAAGAAAUGAUGCUUUGCAAAUACUAUGAGAAGAGAUUAUUAGAAUUCUGUUCGGUGUUUAAGCCAGCAAUGCCAAGGUCUGUUGUGGGUACAGCUUGUAUGUAUUUCAAGCGUUUUUAUCUUAAUAACUCAGUAAUGGAAUAUCACCCCCGGAUAAUAAUGCUCACUUGCGCAUUUUUGGCCUGCAAAGUAGAUGAAUUCAAUGUAUCUAGUCCACAGUUCGUUGGAAAUCUGCGGGAGAGUCCUCUUGGACAAGAAAAGGCACUUGAACAGAUUUUGGAAUAUGAACUACUUCUUAUUCAGCAACUUAAUUUCCACCUUAUUGUCCACAAUCCUUAUAGACCGUUUGAGGGCUUUCUCAUUGAUUUAAAGACUCGCUAUCCCAUGAUGGAGAAUCCAGAGAUGUUGAGGAAAACAGCUGAUGACUUUCUUAAUAGAAUUGCAUUGACGGAUGCUUACCUUUUAUACACACCUUCCCAAAUUGCCCUGACUGCCAUUUUGUCGAGUGCAUCUCGAGCAGGAAUUACUAUGGAAAGUUAUUUGUCAGAAAGUCUGAUGCUGAAAGAGAACAGAACUUGCUUGUCACAGUUACUAGAUAUAAUGAAAAGUAUGAGAAACUUGGUAAAAAAAUAUGAGCCACCCAGAUCUGAAGAAGUUGCUAUUCUGAAACAGAAGUUGGAGAGAUGUCACUCUGCUGAGCUUGCUCUUAACGUAAUUACGAAGAAGAGGAAAGGCUAUGAAGAUGAUGAUUAUGUCUCAAAGAAACCCAAACAUGAAGAGGUAUGCUCUCCAAAGGAAGAAUGGACUGAUGAUGACCUGGUAGAUUCUCUCUAACCAUUUGAAAUUGACUUUCCAAUGCUAACUAACCAACAGAAGGAUGAAGCAGAAAACUGGGUUGCAGGAAUUCUGAGAAACUCUGUAGCCCUGUAAAUCUGAGUUUGAUGGAUACACAGCUGUUCUCAGUGUCAGUGCAUCCCAGGCUGC
Callorhinus ursinus (northern fur seal) is the source of this 1352-nucleotide RNA transcript. It is a transcript of the gene named cyclin H, with no coding region annotated. The record is from RefSeq and is a predicted model, not a curated record. Lineage: Eukaryota; Metazoa; Chordata; Mammalia; Carnivora; Otariidae.